This 404-nucleotide ribosomal RNA is filed under the name uncultured bacterium. Its description in RNAcentral is "bacterial SSU rRNA". It matches the Rfam family "Bacterial small subunit ribosomal RNA", at positions 355 to 774 of the family's 1533-position model. The record is from RNAcentral.
UCGGGAAUAUUGCGCAAUGGAGGAAACUCUGACGCAGUGACGCCGCGUGCAGGAAGAAGGUUUUCGGAUUGUAAACUGCUUUAGACAGGGAAGAACAAAUGACAGUACCUGUAGAAUAAGCUCCGGCUAACUACGUGCCAGCAGCCGCGGUAAUACGUAGGGAGCAAGCGUUAUCCGGAUUUAUUGGGUGUAAAGGGUGCGUAGACGGGAAGUCAAGUUAGUUGUGAAAUCCCUCGGCUCAACUGAGGAACUGCAACUAAAACUAACUUUCUUGAGUGCUGGAGAGGAAAGUGGAAUUCCUAGUGUAGCGGUGAAAUGCGUAGAUAUUAGGAGGAACACCAGUGGCGAAGGCGACUUUCUGGACAGUAACUGACGUUGAGGCACGAAAGUGUGGGGAGCAAACA